RNAcentral lists this ribosomal RNA (164 nucleotides) under uncultured bacterium. RNAcentral's name for it is "partial 16S rRNA". It matches the Rfam family "Bacterial small subunit ribosomal RNA", at positions 355 to 511 of the family's 1533-position model. The record is from RNAcentral.
UAGGGAAUCUUCCACAAUGGGCGCAAGCCUGAUGGAGCAACACCGCGUGAGUGAAGAAGGGUUUCGGCUCGUAAAGCUCUGUUGUUAAAGAAGAACACGUAUGAGAGUAACUGUUCCUACGUUGACGGUAUUUAACCAGAAAGUCACGGCUAACUACGUGCCAG